Non-coding RNA from Podarcis lilfordi (Lilford's wall lizard), 75 nucleotides. The record is from the annotation of a GenBank genome assembly. Lineage: Eukaryota; Metazoa; Chordata; Lepidosauria; Squamata; Lacertidae.
GGGGAUGUAGCUCAGUGGUAGAGCACCUGCUUUGCAUGCAGAAGGUCCUAGCUUCAAUCCCCAGUGGCAUCUCCA